UGACAUGGAUGGAUUUUUAUGAAUCGC
This 27-nucleotide non-coding RNA is filed under the name Bombyx mori (domestic silkworm). The record is from RNAcentral. Lineage: Eukaryota; Metazoa; Arthropoda; Insecta; Lepidoptera; Bombycidae.